Molecule: long non-coding RNA, 227 nt
Filed under: Nicotiana benthamiana
Lineage: Eukaryota; Viridiplantae; Streptophyta; Magnoliopsida; Solanales; Solanaceae
Description: long non-coding RNA (NBEN_LNC000790)
Source: RNAcentral
UAAAAGAAGAAGUCCGGUAUGGAAAUUUUUUGAAAUAAUAGAAGGUACUAAUAGUGUUAAGUACAAAUUUUGUAACGGAACUUGUCAACAUUUGACCGGAGGAAAUUUAGGAGGGACUGGAACACUUACAAGACAUAUGAAAGCUGUCCAUCCCAUAAAAUGGAUCAAUAAUUUUUAAAAGUGGCCUUGAUUUAUUUUCAGACUUUCAGUUGGGAAGCAAUGCUUUG